UACGUAGGGACCUAGCGUUGUCCGGAAUCAUUGGGCGUAAAGCGCGCGUAGGCGGCCCGGUAAGUCCGUUGUAAAAGUCGAAGGCUCAACCUUCGAAAGCCGAUGGAUACUGUCGGGCUCGAGUCCGGAAGAGGCGAGUGGAAUUCCUGGUGUAGCGGUGAAAUGCGCAGAUAUCAGGAGGAACACCAAUGGCGAAAGCAGCUCGCUGGGACGUGACUGACGCUGAGACGCGAAAGCGUGGGGAGCAAACAGG
RNAcentral lists this ribosomal RNA (253 nucleotides) under uncultured bacterium. Its description in RNAcentral is "partial 16S ribosomal RNA". It matches the Rfam family "Bacterial small subunit ribosomal RNA", at positions 524 to 776 of the family's 1533-position model. The record is from RNAcentral.